RNAcentral lists this small nucleolar RNA (75 nucleotides) under Bison bison bison. Its description in RNAcentral is "Small nucleolar RNA SNORD113/SNORD114 family (ENSBBBG00000023512.1)". It matches the Rfam family "Small nucleolar RNA SNORD113/SNORD114 family". From Rfam's summary of the family: The imprinted human domain at 14q32 contains two clusters of tandemly repeated small nucleolar RNAs named 14q(I) and 14q(II) snoRNAs. These two clusters are named SNORD113 and SNORD114 respectively in the HGNC approved gene symbol nomenclature. The snoRNAs found in both clusters are clearly related and are represented here by a single family. The record is from Rfam by way of RNAcentral. Lineage: Eukaryota; Metazoa; Chordata; Mammalia; Artiodactyla; Bovidae.
UGGAUCAGUGAUGAUCAGUACCAGUAUAUGAGUCAUGGAUGAUGAAUAAUAUGUGUCUGGAACUCUGAGGUCCAA